GAUGAACGCUGGCGGCGUGCCUAAUACAUGCAAGUCGAGCGAACGGACGAGAAGCUUGCUUCUCUGAUGUUAGCGGCGGACGGGUGAGUAACACGUGGAUAACCUACCUAUAAGACUGGGAUAACUUCGGGAAACCGGAGCUAAUACCGGAUAAUAUUUUGAACCGCAUGGUUCAAAAGUGAAAGACGGUCUUGCUGUCACUUAUAGAUGGAUCCGCGCUGCAUUAGCUAGUUGGUAAGGUAACGGCUUACCAAGGCAACGAUGCAUAGCCGACCUGAGAGGGUGAUCGGCCACACUGGAACUGAGACACGGUCCAGACUCCUACGGGAGGCAGCAGUAGGGAAUCUUCCGCAAUGGGCGAAAGCCUGACGGAGCAACGCCGCGUGAGUGAUGAAGGUCUUCGGAUCGUAAAACUCUGUUAUUAGGGAAGAACAUAUGUGUAAGUAACUGUGCACAUCUUGACGGUACCUAAUCAGAAAGCCACGGCUAACUACGUGCCAGCAGCCGCGGUAAUACGUAGGUGGCAAGCGUUAUCCGGAAUUAUUGGGCGUAAAGCGCGCGUAGGCGGUUUUUUAAGUCUGAUGUGAAAGCCCACGGCUCAACCGUGGAGGGUCAUUGGAAACUGGAAAACUUGAGUGCAGAAGAGGAAAGUGGAAUUCCAUGUGUAGCGGUGAAAUGCGCAGAGAUAUGGAGGAACACCAGUGGCGAAGGCGACUUUCUGGUCUGUAACUGACGCUGAUGUGCGAAAGCGUGGGGAUCAAACAGGAUUAGAUACCCUGGUAGUCCACGCCGUAAACGAUGAGUGCUAAGUGUUAGGGGGUUUCCGCCCCUUAGUGCUGCAGCUAACGCAUUAAGCACUCCGCCUGGGGAGUACGACCGCAAGGUUGAAACUCAAAGGAAUUGACGGGGACCCGCACAAGCGGUGGAGCAUGUGGUUUAAUUCGAAGCAACGCGAAGAACCUUACCAAAUCUUGACAUCCUUUGACAACUCUAGAGAUAGAGCCUUCCCCUUCGGGGGACAAAGUGACAGGUGGUGCAUGGUUGUCGUUAGCUCGUGUCGUGAGAUGUUGGGUUAAGUCCCGCAACGAGCGCAACCCUUAAGCUUAGUUGCCAUCAUUAAGUUGGGCACUCUAAGUUGACUGCCGGUGACAAACCGGAGGAAGGUGGGGAUGACGUCAAAUCAUCAUGCCCCUUAUGAUUUGGGCUACACACGUGCUACAAUGGACAAUACAAAGGGCAGCGAAACCGCGAGGUCAAGCAAAUCCCAUAAAGUUGUUCUCAGUUCGGAUUGUAGUCUGCAACUCGACUACAUGAAGCUGGAAUCGCUAGUAAUCGUAGAUCAGCAUGCUACGGUGAAUACGUUCCCGGGUCU
RNAcentral lists this ribosomal RNA (1372 nucleotides) under uncultured bacterium. Its description in RNAcentral is "bacterial SSU rRNA". It matches the Rfam family "Bacterial small subunit ribosomal RNA", at positions 28 to 1381 of the family's 1533-position model. The record is from RNAcentral.